UUCUAACCAAAUUCCAUAACAUUUUUAAAUGAAACUAAAAAAUUCAAACUCACACGUUCUCCAAAUCGAAAUGAAACAUCAAACAUGGGAAUGUGUGCAUGCCAUAUGUAACUGAAAAGCAAUGCUAGACUGUUAGCAGGGGAAAAAGGAACACUCUAAAAGAAGAACUGCUUCAUCUUCUAAGUUAUUACCAAAAUCCAAGAAACUUAUUAACAACUGAU
RNAcentral lists this long non-coding RNA (221 nucleotides) under Panax ginseng (ginseng). RNAcentral's name for it is "long non-coding RNA (PGIN_LNC007061)". Lineage: Eukaryota; Viridiplantae; Streptophyta; Magnoliopsida; Apiales; Araliaceae. The record is from RNAcentral.